This 287-nucleotide long non-coding RNA is filed under the name Gossypium raimondii (Peruvian cotton). RNAcentral describes it as "long non-coding RNA (GRAI_LNC002443)". Lineage: Eukaryota; Viridiplantae; Streptophyta; Magnoliopsida; Malvales; Malvaceae. The record is from RNAcentral.
GGGAUGCCGUCGGAGUGCCCACACAUCGCCGUCGAAGUCGGAGGGGCCUCAGAUCUGCCGUGGAGGAGGCGGCGGCUUGGGGAUGGCUUGGGUUAAGGAGAACCCUAGCAGAGAACCUUUUUUUUUUUCUUUCCCUCUGUUCUUAAAAGAAAAUGAAAUAGAGAUUUUUUUUUUGUUUGUUAAAAGGAAAUUUUUUGAUUUUAGUAUUAAAGAAAAGUGGUGCCGUUUAAUGGCCCUGAAGUUGCCUUUUUAUUCCAAUGGUUUAUUAUCGCAAUUGGUCCCUUUCC